This 355-nucleotide ribosomal RNA is filed under the name uncultured bacterium. Its description in RNAcentral is "partial 16S ribosomal RNA". It matches the Rfam family "Bacterial small subunit ribosomal RNA", at positions 338 to 690 of the family's 1533-position model. The record is from RNAcentral.
CCUACGGGUGGCAGCAGUGAGGAAUAUUGGUCAAUGGACGGAAGUCUGAACCAGCCAUGCCGCGUGCAGGAUGACGGCUCUCUGAGUUGUAAACAGCUUUUGUACGGGGAUAAUAGUUCUUACGUGUAGGGAUUUUAAUGUAUCGUACGAAUAAGGAUCGGCAAACUCCGUUCCAGCAGCCGCGGUAAUACGGGGGAUUCGAGCGUUGUCCGGAUUUAUUUGGUUUAAAGGGUGGGUAGGCUGUCGGAUAAGUUAGAGGUCAAAUGCCGGGGCUUAACCCCGUGCCUGCCUCUGAUACUGUUAGACUAGAGAGCGGAUGCAGCAGGAGGAAUGAGGAGUGUAGCGGUGAAAUGCU